Long non-coding RNA from Bufo bufo (common toad), 606 nucleotides. RefSeq lists it as uncharacterized. The transcript has 3 exons. The record is from RefSeq and is a predicted model, not a curated record. NCBI's taxonomy places the organism in Eukaryota, Metazoa, Chordata, Amphibia, Anura, Bufonidae.
AGGUGCACAGUUUUGCAAAUCUUGACAUAUUCAUGAAUUGUGAUCUCCUAAGAAUUUUUCAACCUUUAAGAUAUCGUUAUCUGCUCCCCUAACUAGAGAUAUAAUACAGGUGAGGACAGGAUAAGAGGCUACUAGAAAUAUCUUUUCUCUUCCUCUUAUGAAGUAGAAGAUAAUCAAGUGUGACUUGUCAGUAAUAGAACUAAAAACAGACUGGGUGAAAUGUCUGCAAGAUCUGAAUAUAGUAAACUUUUUGAAAAGACAUUUCAGGAAACUCAACAAGGUGAAAGGUUAUUUAAAUGUCCAGAAUGUGAGAAAUCAUUUAUUACAAAAGCAUAUUUUGUUGAACAUCAGAGAAUUCACAAAGGAGUGAAGCCAUAUUCAUGUUCGGAAUGUGAGAAAUGUUUUACUUCAAAAUUACAACUGGUGAGACAUCAGAGAAUUCACACAGGAGAGAAGCCAUAUUCGUGUCCUGAAUGUGAAAAGUGUUUUAGUCAGAGGUCAGAUCUUGUCCGACAUCAGAGAAUUCACACAGAAGAGAAACCAUUUUCAUGUCCUGAAUGUGAGAAAUGUUUUAGUCGAAAAUCAUAUCUUGUUUUGCAUCAGAGA